GAAUGAUAUAAGAAAGAUCCAAAUUCCUGUAUCAUCACAAUUUACUAAAAUUACAAAACUAUAGCAACGAUUCCUCGCCAUCCAUUGAUUUUUCUUUAGUAAAUUCGUACAACUGACUACCACCUCAAAUCUUUUAUCAAGAAAUUCAAAAGCAGUAAUCUACAAAAACAACAAUUAUGUUUGAUAAAAAUCGCAUGAAAGGAAAGCAAGAAUCUUUCCAAGAAGAAGAAAAGAUCAAGUACCGCUACAAAAACCCUCUUAGGCUAUCAUCAUCAGAAAGCAGAUUCACAUACGGCGACGUUUCUAUAUCAUCCGCCACAAGAUCAUCCGUGCUCCUGAGCAGCGCGUGUAAAAUGACCAAAACGAUACCGAUUCCGACCGCAACCACUACAUUAAGCCAAACGCCACUCCAAACCAACACCAAAACCGUCACCGCAAAAAGCGCAACUAAAACCAGCAAAUCAUUAACCUGGUAACCGAAAACACUGAGGGGCUCCUCGCGAGAGAAGUAAAGAAAGACCCAAGCAACGAGCGUGAUAAAGAAGGCGAUUAGGGAGAGAGGAUGAUAAAGGAGACUCAAGAAGAGGACAAGCAAGACGAUGAUUGAGUAAUUAGCACGGAAAUGAGUGAGGUUCUGAGUUAAACGAGUAGUGGCGUCGGGGAUGGAGGAGGGGAGGUAGAGAGAGGUGAGGUCUAGAAAAAGUAACCAUGGACGAAGACUAGCUUUUAGGGAUUGGGAGGUUUGCUUGAAGCUCGCGAAGAAUUGGGGAGAAUUGGACAUUGUUCUCGUUACUGAAGAUGAAAAUUUUUCUGAUUCAAAGGAUUCUCAUUCGGCUUCAAACAAGAAAU
Molecule: unclassified non-coding RNA, 849 nt
Filed under: Hevea brasiliensis (rubber tree)
Lineage: Eukaryota; Viridiplantae; Streptophyta; Magnoliopsida; Malpighiales; Euphorbiaceae
Source: RNAcentral